UUGGGGAUAUAGCUCAGUGGUAGAGCACUUGCCUAGCAUGUGCAAGGCCCUGGGGUCAAUCCCCAGCACCAAA
Molecule: transfer RNA, 73 nt
Filed under: Marmota monax (woodchuck)
Lineage: Eukaryota; Metazoa; Chordata; Mammalia; Rodentia; Sciuridae
Description: tRNA.Ala
Source: RNAcentral